UACGGGGGGGGUAAGCGUUGUUCGGAAUUACUGGGCGUAAAGGGCUCGUAGGCGGCCAACUAAGUCAGACGUGAAAUCCCUCAGCUUAACUGGGGAACUGCGUCUGAUACUGGAUGGCUUGGAUUCGGGAGAGGAAUGCGGAAUUCCAGGUGUAGCGGUGAAAUGCGUAGAUAUCUGGAGGAACACCGGUGGCGAAAGCGGUCGACUGGUCGAGUACUGACACUGAGGCGCGACGGCGUGGGGAGCAAACCGG
Molecule: ribosomal RNA, 253 nt
Filed under: uncultured bacterium
Lineage: Bacteria
Description: partial 16S ribosomal RNA
Rfam family: Bacterial small subunit ribosomal RNA
Source: RNAcentral